CUCUAAAUUUGUAACGUAGUAAAAUAUAGAGUAAUGAGCUAAACAGCCUAGUAAGCAAUGGCUAUCUUAACUAAAUAAUUUAUGUGAUAAUAUAUGUUACGAAUAUCAAAAUAUAAUUUAUCAUUAAUCAGCAUAUAAAUAUAAUCAAAUUUAUUUUCAAAAUAUGAAUUCAUUAAUGAUAGUAUCUUUCAAAUAUUUAUAUACAUAAUCAUAUAUUUGAUUUCUAAGUUAAUCAUAUUUAAAAAUCUGAUUCAAAAUAAAUUUUACUUAACUCAUCAACUUUUAACUAUGACCACGC
This 298-nucleotide long non-coding RNA is filed under the name Elaeis guineensis (African oil palm). Its description in RNAcentral is "long non-coding RNA (EGUI_LNC012977)". The record is from RNAcentral. Lineage: Eukaryota; Viridiplantae; Streptophyta; Magnoliopsida; Arecales; Arecaceae.